This 408-nucleotide ribosomal RNA is filed under the name Triticum aestivum (bread wheat). Its description in RNAcentral is "partial small subunit ribosomal RNA". The record is from RNAcentral. Lineage: Eukaryota; Viridiplantae; Streptophyta; Magnoliopsida; Poales; Poaceae.
AUGCUCUCGGAGGGCGAGGAAUCGGUUGUUUGGCCCCAUUCUGCUUCUAGCAGAUUCAGUGUCAAGUCGUUGUACUCUAAGUUGAUCUCAGGGUCCCCCACCUCUAAGUUUAAGAACAUUUGGCCCGCUCGUGUUCCUCCUAAGAUAAAGAUCUUCUUAUGGCAAGCCUUCCAUGGCAGAUUGCCCGCGGCUGACCAGAUGCGAAAAAGGAAUGGGCCUGGCUCUGACAGAUGUGCUUUGUGUGGUGCCCUUGAGGAUACGCAACAUAUUUUCUUUCAUUGCCCCUUGGCUAAAUUCGUUUGGUGCUACAUCCGUUCCUGGCUCCAAGUUGCGUGGAACCCUUCCUCCUUUGCUGAUCUUAGGGCCUUUGCCAUGGGCCUGUCGGGGUCCUCUAAACGGGUUUUCUAG